Molecule: long non-coding RNA, 1239 nt
Organism: Homo sapiens (human)
Lineage: Eukaryota; Metazoa; Chordata; Mammalia; Primates; Hominidae
Product: long intergenic non-protein coding RNA 939
Source: Ensembl
AGAAGCCUGUGGGGCCGAGAUGCCCGGACCUGCCCGGCCCGAACUAGGCAAAGUCCAGCGAAUAGCCUCCUCCCCAGGGCACCAGGAGAGACCAGGAUUGGAGGACGGUAAAGAACACACUUCCCAGAGGAUUCUUGGAGCAAAAUAUUACACAAGGUCCAGGGCAAGGCAGGAUGGCCACCUCGCUCACUCAUCACAGCUGUCCUCUGACCUGAGCAGGGCCGUUCUGUCUCAGACCUGGAGACCCCGCACUCAGGGCGUUCAGGAACUCCCCGACCCACCAGGAGCCUCUCCUGGUGUCUCCCAGGGAUUGUCAAUAGUUCCAUUUUCCUUGAAGAACUUGUUUUCAGGUGGCUUCCUCCAGGCAGUAAAUCUACAGCCCAGGCUCCCUGCAUCUUAUGGCUCCAAUCACUUUGGAUCUCAUCGUCGCCUGCACAUUGCCAUACACAGGGAAGGAGAAGAGAUGGAGAAGGCAAAGACUUUCUGAAAGCCGUGGCUAAAAGCUGGCAUGUGUCACAUCAGCUCACAUUCCAUUGUAGAGACGGGGUUUCACCGUGUUAGCCAGGAUGGUCUUGAUAUCCUGACCUCGUGAUCCGCCCGCCUUGGCUUCCCAAAGUGCUGGGAUUACAGGCGUGAGCCACCGCUCCCGGCCUGGCAGGCAUUCUUGAGGCAAACGGGAAAUGGGUGAACGGGAGGAACAUUGGCAGCACUUGUGGUCUGCACCAAGAACUGAAUCGAAUUUCCAUGUGUUAUUGAAUGUUCACAAAGACCUUGUACAGCGAGUGUUACUACCUCUGGUCAAUGAUUCAACUCAAGGCUCAGAAAAGUCAAGUGUCUUGUCCAGGGACACUUAGUCAGAAGUGAAUCCAAGGUUUAAGCUCAAGUCUGCCUAACUCUGAAUUUCACAGCCUUUUGCUACAUAUGGCGAAUAAUAUAUCCCUGAGCACUAAAGGCAGACUCCAAGGAUCUUGUCUCUGCAAUCAUCAUUCUGGCCAUAAUUUAUGAAAAGCAACCCAAAGUAUGUGAUGUAAUAAAAAGUACUAUCUAUGAGUUUACCCUUCCAAAAAUUGAACUGAAUUCUGAGCUCUAAAUUUGGAAUCAAAAGAACUUUUCUCUGCACUAAUCAUUUGGAACAUCACUUAAAGAAAACAACGAAAAACUGGUGUCCCCUGAGAGAAAGCAAUACAAAACAUUAUGCAUAAAGAAAUCCUUCCAAAAAAUAAACCAAAUCCAGUCAAA